Long non-coding RNA from Pungitius pungitius (ninespine stickleback), 1914 nucleotides. RefSeq lists it as uncharacterized. Lineage: Eukaryota; Metazoa; Chordata; Actinopteri; Perciformes; Gasterosteidae. The transcript has 3 exons. The record is from RefSeq and is a predicted model, not a curated record.
UGAAAAAAAGGAUUUUUUGGUGUAGUAAUAUUUAUUAGGUUAACUGUCAUAAUUUUUACUUUCUAAUUGUAAGUAUCAGUGAGAACUGGAAUUAUUCAAGUAAAACUAUAUAUGUCAUUCAAGUAAUAAAUAAACUGUGUGGGAUGAGUACGUUUUAUUAUGUAUUUUCAAGUAAUAUUCAAAGGUUUCAUAGUCAUUGCACAUGAACUUAGAAAUGCCAAGUAAGUUUAACUAGUGUUGGUGUUUGGAAUCCGCGCAUGCGCCUUGUGAUGCGCAUACAGGACGCAUGCGCUCCGUUUUCCGCCAAAACACAAGAAGACGACAACGACGGUCAGGUUUAAUGGAGGCAGGAGCACCUAAAUUAUCUUGAAGGUAAGUAAUUCAGGGUUUUUCCUGCAUAUGUAACGAAGUUAAAAUAUAAUAUGAUCCCACUUGCCAUUAUCACACAUCACGUAUCACUGUAGCUUAAUUUUACCAUGGUCACUAAACGCAACUUACUUGUGGACUUGGGUCGUGCGCCCGGGUGUACAGCAGUCAGACCUUGCUGUCCCCUUGGUAAGUGCACAAGUUAUGAGCUCCACCAUCGUUUUCAUUAAUUAUCUUAAUUGUAUACAAAACGAGUGGUUUAUUUUGUUAUGAAACGUAUAGCUCCCAAACGGUCGAGCACCUCCUUUUAAUUUAAAAGUUGACGGUGUUUUUCUUUAUUUAGAUAAUGUGGCCAGUGUGACACGUGUUGCUAGCUAACCAGCUAACCUCUUUUAUUUUUCACUUGCAGUAAGACGUAUGUGUGUGUAAACCGGGACUGACUAUGAUUAAUAACAGAGCUGCCAACUCUCACGCUUUCGCUGUGUGACACCCGUUUUUGCCUGUUUGCACUCACGCCACACAUCCGAUUUCUGACACACAAAUCCGGCCGAGACGCGUUCUUUCCUUUUUCAAACCCCCCCAACGAUAGAUGGCGCUGAUGAGCGCCACUGAGCCAUGUGCGCUGCACCCCGAAAUAAGCGACAGAAGAAGAGAUACCAGCGGCGCAAAAGAACCAAAACGCAAGAAGAAACAGUCGAUACCUCAAGAAGUCUGAAGUCUGAGCUGAGACUGGCUAGCGACACGUUGAAGCGAGACGGGAGGCUAUUAUUCGCGCCCUGAUGGAAUUCCUGGGGGAGUCUUCAGGUGAACUCAAGGACUACAAGGAUAUCAGCAGAGAAGAAGCUCAAAAGGACCAGGCUUAGCAAGUCCUGAGGAUCUGUGUCUUCCACACAAGUGAAGAAGAUGACGGUGCAUCCAAAACUGAUGUGUUGAUUGUUAUUGAAGGGACUGAGGUACUUGACAAAUGUGGAAGUGUUGCAAAGGCCUGUCUCCUGCUCAUGGUCAUCAUAUAUGCCAUGAACCUGUGUUAUCCCCCAAAAACGCCUAACCCUUUUUAGUUUCAAGAUAUUCUGCACAGACGUUUAGAACCUCAGGGCAAAACACUGUUCUUUAAGGUCAAACGUUUUAAUGUUAAACCAAUAAUAAGCAUGUAUUUUAAGAUGCACUGAAGGUUCCUGAAGCAUGUCAAAUGUUUUUGUUGAGAGUUCAAGGUUAAAAAGCCUAUCCAAAAGAUAGGCUACAUAUUCUCUAUCCAAACAGUUCCUGAAUGUUUCCUUGUGCCUUUUACCAAGCUACCUCAAACCCAUUUUAGCCACUCUAAGAUGAAAUUUCUGUCAUCUACUCACCCCGAUGCCGAUAAGAUUGAAGUGUUGUCGAACAUUCGUGCUCUUCUGGGAGUUUGGAACACUGAUGGGUUUGCUGGAAGUUACUAGUUAAGUUUGUGUGCAGUGUUGGAAAUUGUUUGAUUAAAAAUUGUUUUUCACUUGAAAAUAAAUGGGUUUUUAAAUUCAACAGUUGCCUUAUUUUUUUUGAAGCCAUUGUUUCAAU